UACGUAGGGCGCAAGCGUUGUCCGGAAUCAUUGGGCGUAAAGAGCUCGUAGGCGGCCUGUCGCGUCUGCUGUGAAAUCCCGGGGCUCAACCCCGGGCGUGCAGUGGAUACGGGCUGGCUAGAGGCAGGCAGGGGAGAACGGAAUUCCCGGUGUAGCGGUGAAAUGCGCAGAUAUCGGGAGGAACACCGGUGGCGAAGGCGGUUCUCUGGGCCUGUACUGACGCUGAGGAGCGAAAGCGUGGGGAGCGAACAGG
RNAcentral lists this ribosomal RNA (253 nucleotides) under Streptosporangiales bacterium. Its description in RNAcentral is "partial 16S ribosomal RNA". It matches the Rfam family "Bacterial small subunit ribosomal RNA", at positions 524 to 776 of the family's 1533-position model. The record is from RNAcentral. Lineage: Bacteria; Bacillati; Actinomycetota; Actinomycetes; Streptosporangiales. RNAcentral also lists the same sequence under 1 other name.